RNAcentral lists this unclassified non-coding RNA (321 nucleotides) under uncultured Russula. Its description in RNAcentral is "sequence contains ITS2". The record is from RNAcentral. Lineage: Eukaryota; Fungi; Basidiomycota; Agaricomycetes; Russulales; Russulaceae.
AACGCACCUUGCGCCCCUUGGCAUUCCGAGGGGCACACCCGUUUGAGUGUCGUGAAAUCUUCAAAAUCCCUCUCUUUUGAGGAUUUUUGGACUUGGAGGUUCAAUGCUCGCUUUUGCCUUUUAGAAAGCGAGCUCCUCUCAAAUGAAUCAGUGGGGUCUGCUUUGCCGGUCCUUGACGUGAUAAGGUCUUUCUACGUUUUGGAUUCGACAUCGUCCCGCUUCCAAUCGUCCCACGGACAAAAGGAUGGUGCUCCGGUCGCGGCCGGACCCACCAAAAAAAACCUUGACCUCAAAUCGGGUGAGACUACCCGCUGAACUUAA